GUGCAAAAUCAAUAUUUGUAUUGUAUCAAGUUAUCUUUCUUUUGAUAAAAAAGUGAAAAAGUAACUAACUUAUAAAGAAAAAUUUAUAUUUAGAUAAUAGAAAUUUAAUAUUUCUACUGUUAAAUUGAUAGCAGAUUCAUUGAAAUGCAGAAAGAAAUAAAGUAGAAAAUUAUUAAAUAUUUUAACAAAUUGAUACUUAACAAAAAUAUAAAAAUAAAAUCCAAAAUCUUUAACUUUUUUGAUAAAUAAUUAAAAUUAAAACUUUUAAAGAUUUUAUUUUUCUUCUAUUAUAUUAGGUUAUAGUUUUUGUAAUGUUUUGUAAAAUAAUAAAAUUUUAAUCCUUUCUCUAAUAUUAAAAUAUUCUUUUUCAUUCUACCUAUGAGUAAUUAAAUCUAUGAAAAUUUAAUAUAAUUUUCAAUCUUAUAUCUAAAAAUUAUCCAUUAUUUAUUCUUUUUAUUCCCUCUAUUCACAUUAACCUAUCAAUUCAUCUGCUUUAAAUCAAUCUUCUCAUUUCAAAAUCAGAAAUUUUUCUCCAUUUCUCCAGAAUAAAAAUGUUUCAUUCCAUGAUCAUUUUAUUGUAAGAAAUAAAAAAAUAGAAUUCGUCUAACCUUGAAAUUAUUCGCACAGUAAAUUCCAUCCAAAAAGAACAAACACACCACAAUUCAAAGAUCAACCAUAGAAUAUUUUAUCCUAGCGCUUUCCCUUCGAAACUUUUGCAAAUGAAUUGUCUAUGCCUGCCCUCUAUCGGUUGAAUUUCCUUCGAUCGGGCCGCCAUUACGAUAGCGAACCGAUGAGGAAGAUAAGGUUAACAAUAUCGAGGAUAUUCCCGAGCUAUCGACGAGUACUAUAGUUUAAUGUCAUUGAAUUACUCUCUAUUGGAAGUGCACCCUUUAUCUCUGAAAUUGAGUGCCAAUUUCACUUUAUUAGCUUGUGGACAAUUGUGAUUCAAUACUGAGUAAUCGAGUUCCAUUGUGUAAUGACACCUGCUACGAAGAUAAGUAAGUUCCAAUUGCAUGACAAUGAAGAAUGCUUCAAGACACCGUUGAGCUUCUUGCCGGUACUUAAUACGCUCGAUCGAAGAACGAAUGAAAAUUCCAUGGAAGGGGAUGGGUCUGCUAUUGGCCGAUAGAAUAUUCGCCGAGGUAUUAUUCAAAUUAGAUGGAAUCGACUGUCGUCGACCGCGGGUUAGGACCGUUUGUAAUAGAGCUAGGCCAGAAUUCGAAAUGCCACCGAUAAAGGAUGGGUUUCACCCGCGUUCCGAGAAGAACAUUCCCCUUUGUCGUUGAUACUCGCUCAACGACACGCUCACGUCGACCGAAAACUUCACGAUGUCUUCAAUCCACUUCUGGUGAACAGUAAUCUUUUAGAGACUUUCAGAAAUAUUGAGAUCGGAUGAAGAAAUUAAGACAAGGAUCGUUUCAACUUUCAACUUUGUCUUUAAAGGAUCUUGGAUCUUUAUUGUGCAAAUUAUAAGUUUGUAUGAAGUUGUUGUUGAAAUGUAAAGCAAAGAAAAAAAAUGUAUUGGAUAUCACAAAAGCUAAUUGAAUAAACUGAGAAAAAAAAAUUAAAUGUACUGAGAAAGGAUCUUGCUAAAUUUAGAUUAUUUUUUAUCUUCGAGAUAUUAAAUUAUUGGAUAUAAUAAUAUAUUACUAUUGAUAAUAUCGAAAAAUGUUUUUAAAUAUCUGAGAAAAGUAGGAUGAAUAAUUCUGUCUCACACGAAACUUUAUGAAUAUAAUAUAAAACAUAAUGAAUUGAUUACAUAUGAAAAAUUUUUUUAAAGUUUCAAUAUUAUUUAUAAUUGUGUAUUACAAUUUUUGUUUUUUAAUCAAAUAUCCCAUUGUAAAAAUUUCCAACUAAAAUUAUAUAAAAUAUGAAAAAAAUUAAAUAAAAUAUUAUAGAAAAUAAAUAAAAAUUUGAGAUCCUCAAAAA
Apis cerana (Asiatic honeybee) is the source of this 1929-nucleotide long non-coding RNA. RefSeq lists it as uncharacterized. The record is from RefSeq and is a predicted model, not a curated record. NCBI's taxonomy places the organism in Eukaryota, Metazoa, Arthropoda, Insecta, Hymenoptera, Apidae.